RNAcentral lists this ribosomal RNA (382 nucleotides) under uncultured eukaryote. Its description in RNAcentral is "partial 18S ribosomal RNA". It matches the Rfam family "Eukaryotic small subunit ribosomal RNA", at positions 592 to 976 of the family's 1831-position model. The record is from RNAcentral.
UGUAAGCGUAUACCAAAGUUGUUGCAGUUAAAACGCUCGUAGUCGGAAUUUGGCAGUUCCGGAUGUGUGCACGUCGUGUGCGCACUUCGCGGGGAUUGCUUUUGUGGUCUUGCGUAGGAUGAGGCACUUUUAUUAGUGAACGUCCUCACGCAACCACUUUUUACUGUGAGAAAAUCAGAGUGCUCAAAGCAGGCAUUUGCCGUGAAUGUAUUAGCAUGGAAUAAUAGAAUAGGACUUGGUUCUAUUUUGUUGGUUUGUUGGGACUGAGUAAUGAUUAAGAGGGACAGUUGGGGGCAUUUGUAUUUCGGUGCUAGAGGUGAAAUUCUUAGAUUACCGAAAGACAAACUGCUGCGAAAGCGUCUGCCAAGGAUGUUUUCAUGGA